This 253-nucleotide ribosomal RNA is filed under the name uncultured bacterium. Its description in RNAcentral is "partial 16S ribosomal RNA". It matches the Rfam family "Bacterial small subunit ribosomal RNA", at positions 524 to 776 of the family's 1533-position model. The record is from RNAcentral.
UACGUAGGUGGCAAGCGUUGUCCGGAUUUAUUGGGUUUAAAGGGUGCGUAGGCGGUUUUGUAAGUCAGUGGUGAAAUACUCCAGCUUAACUGGAGGGGUGCCAAUGAUACUGCAGAACUUGAGUACAGAUGAGGUAGGCGGAAUUGACGGUGUAGCGGUGAAAUGCAUAGAUAUCGUCAAGAACACCGAUAGCGAAGGCAGCUUACUGGGCUGUAACUGACGCUGAGGCACGAAAGCGUGGGGAGCAAACAGG